RNAcentral lists this transfer RNA (63 nucleotides) under Calomicrus fallax. Its description in RNAcentral is "tRNA-Pro". Lineage: Eukaryota; Metazoa; Arthropoda; Insecta; Coleoptera; Chrysomelidae. The record is from RNAcentral.
CAGAUAUUAGUUUAUAUUAAAAUAUUAAUUUUGGAGAUUAGAGAUAAAAAUUUUUAUAUCUGA